Molecule: non-coding RNA, 23 nt
Filed under: Arabidopsis thaliana (thale cress)
Lineage: Eukaryota; Viridiplantae; Streptophyta; Magnoliopsida; Brassicales; Brassicaceae
Source: RNAcentral
AGGGCCCAAAAGUCCGGGGUGAA